UUCCCAAUCUUGUACACAACAAACACACACAAAAACUAUUUUAAUCUAUAUCUGCCCUAAAACACACACAAAAACUAUUUUAAUCUUAUAUCUGCCCUAAAACACACACACCAUUUACCAUAACCACAACACAGUCUCCAUUUCUUUUGCCCUAGUCUCCCUUGAACCCUCUCUCCCUGCUCUCUCUCCGUCUCUCUCUCUCUCUGUGUAUUUCCCACUGCGCGCUUACGUAUUCACACAACGAUUUCCAUUUAUUGUGGACAAUUUCGUAUUCACCCCAUCCCAACACCACCCCCACCCCAGCCCCCUCGGGGCCAAAAACCAGAUAUAUACAUAUCGUUGUAUAUAUACAGGGAGUUUUGGUCUUGGCGUUAUUAAGAGCGGUUAGGGUUUUGUUGAGGAUCUUAUUGCCUUUUUCAUCGCUUAAUCACUCACUUUUUUUUUGGGGUAGUAUCUUGUUUUGUUAUUUGUGUUGGUGGUGGAGAAACCCUAAGUUUUGUUUUGGGAAAAGUUUUUGUGGGUCUAGGGUUUGUGGAUUUGUGGAUUUUAGUCUCCAUUGGGCAUGGUGGGUCGUUGAGUUUUUAGGUUUUGUUUGGUUGAAAUCUUGUUGGGUAGCGGAAAAUAAAGGGGUAUUUCUUUCGUAACAGCUGACGGAGUAAUAAUGAUAGUCUGAUUAUUGUUCCAAUUGUUUCGUCUUCCGUCUUUUUUUGUGCUAAAAGAGAUGGAGUAACGGAAGACUUUUGAUUAUUAGGUAUAGUCUUCAUUUCUUUUUCGGGGAAAUUCUGUAGGUGUUAUCCUUGGUCAAUCCUUUAUUUUUGCCGGUUUGUAUUUGGUUUGCUUCAAAUUUGUGAAGCCAAAAGGAAAGAUCUCCAUAGAGGAAAUUUACAUAGGUGCAUGGUUGAUUUUUGGGAGAGAAACCUUGUUUUGGACUAAAAUCUGUGAAGCAAGUUGAAUUUCUUUUUGGGGACCUUUUAGGUACAGUAAUGUUGUUGGUUAUUGCAAUUUUUUGGAUAGACAGGUGACAUAUUGGUUGAGAUAGGAGAAGUGAGUUGAAUAAAAAUCUUGUUGUAGAGUUAUCUGAUCAUGUUCUGCGCCAAUGGAACGGAGUGAACCAGCAUUAGUUCCAGAAUGGUUGAGAAGUACUGGAAGUGUUACUGGGGUUGGCUCUUCAAGUCCCCACUUUGCAUCCUCUUCUUUGCAUUCAGAUGUUACUUUAUCCACACUGUCUUCUCGCAAUAGAUCUCCGAGAAGUGUUAGUGACAAAGAUAGCCCACGUUCUGUGUUUUUGGAUCGCAGUUCAUCAUCAAAUUCUAGGCGUAGCUCUAGUGGAACUAGUUCGAAGCAUCCGUACAGUAGUUUUAAUAGAAAUCAUCGUGAUAAAAAUCGAGAAAGAGAGAAAGAAAGACCAGGUACUGUUGAUCUAUGGGAUCAUGACACAUCUGAUCCUCUGGGGAACAUCUUAGCCGGUAGAGUUGAUAAGAACAGCUUGAGGCGCUCUCAGUCGCUGGUGUCCAGGAAAUCGGGAGAGUUCUUGCCCCGAAGGACUGAGGACUCGAAAGGUUGUAUUAGUAGCACACAUAAUACUGGCAAUGGUAUUCAUUCAGGCGGAAGUAGUAGUUUUAACGGUAACCAGAAGGCAGCAUUUGAGAAGGAUUUUCCUUCUCUUGGGAUUGAAGAGAGGCAGGUAACCAGAGUUUCAUCGCCUGGUUUGAGCUCAGCAGUUCAAAGUUUGCCUAUUGGGAACUCGGCUUUGCUUGGUGCUGAUAAAUGGACCUCUGCAUUGGCGGAGGUGCCUCCAAUAAUUGGUAGCAUCGGUUUGGGGAGCUCAGCUUCUCAACAAAGUGUUACUGCAGCUGCAACACCUAGCUCUUUAAGUGGGAUGGCGAGUCUUAACAUGGCUGAAGCAUUGUCACAAGCACCACUACGCGCUCGUGCAACCACCCAGAUCCCUGAUAAGACACAGAGGCUUGAAGAAUUAGCUAUAAAGCAAUCGAGACAGUUGAUACCUGUGGUACCUUCAAUGCCCAAAGCCUUGGUAUCCAGUUCUGCUGAUAAAUCAAAGCAGCCAAAAUCCACAGCUAGGACAAAUGAGAUGGUUGGAAUAGCUAAGAGUAUGCAACAACCCUUUUCCACUCAACUUUCUAAUCAGCCUCGCUGUGGACUAGUCAGAGUGGAAACUCCUGCUACAUCUCAUGGCAAAACUCUUUUGGUUCUAAAGCCAGGACGGGAAAAUGGUGUCACCUGUUUGUCAAAAGAAGCUUCGAGUCCAGCUAACAACACUGGCAGUAGACUAGCAAAUUGCCCUCCUGCAGUGGCUCCUUCAGCUCCUGCUGUGACCAGUCCAACUUCAAGGGUAACUUCCCUUGAAACAAAGGCUGCCACAUUGUCUCUGAAGCCACGAUCUACUUCAGAGAAGAGAUCUUCCCUGUCUCAAGCCCAAAGCCGGAGUGAUUUUUUCAAUCUAAUGAGGAAGAAGACUUCUUUAAAUUCUUCUGCUGUCCUUCAUGACUCUGGUAUGGUUUCAUCUAACAGUAGGGAGCAGUCUGGUCUUAAAACUAAAGACGAGGAUAGUGCCUCAUUGAGUCCUUGUGUUUCUGAAAAUGGAAGUGAGAGAACCAGCAAUGGAGACCCUCAUGAAGCUCAAAACCAUGUUCAAAGACAUAAUGAUGUUGAAGAGAACAACUCGUUUAUAAAUGGAGUUCUCUAUCCAGAUGAAGAAGAGGAGGCGGCUUUCCUACGUUCUCUUGGUUGGGAUGAAAAUGGUGGGGAAGACGAAGGCCUUACAGAGGAAGAAAUUAACGCUUUUUAUCAGGAGUAUAUGAAACUGAAGCCAUCCUUGAAGGUUUCCAAAGGUGCCCAGGGAAAGUGUUUGAUGCCCCCUGACUAUGCUACUAAUGCUGGAACUGCUUCUUCCAAUUCGACUUCAUCUGAAUCUGAUGCUUAAAUGUUGUGAUUUUCUCACGUAUAUGGGAUGCAUACAGUUUGGUUUGUCAAGAGAUACAUCGCUUCUUUUUUAUGGUCUCCUUUUGUUUUGGAGGAUCUCUGAUGUGUGUUUUCUAAAUGGAGGAUGGCUUUUGGAAUUUUGAAGUGCAGAGAAGAGAAAUAAGUUAGUCUGCUGCUGUCCUGCUUGCUCAAAAGAAAGCUAAGUUGUUGAAGCAGCAGUUUUAAUGGAUGUAGUAACUAGUAAAUGGCGGUGACCUGGGUAGGAAGAGAUGGCUUUUGGGAGGAUUUACUGCGUGCAUCAUAUCUGUGUUGCUAGACUGGUAGAUCUGUUGUUGGAGCAUGUAAUUUUUCCUCCAUUUAAGGAGAGGGUUUUCUUUAGAGCUGAAGUAGGUACAAACGCCUUGCUAAAUUGGUAUCAAGCAAAAGUUCAGCAGGUACAUUUACCAUGCUCAUGUUAUUUGACACUAGCAACUUACCCUGGUGCAUAGAAGAUGUAAAUUUGGUGCUGUGAAGCCCCAUAAUUUCUGCAGCUUGAAAUUGGCUAGUCAAGCUAAUAAAUCUCAAAACUAACCUAGUCCAGAGUGUGGAGACCCUCUGAAGGUAUAUCAGUUCAAAGUUAAUAUAGCUUCUUAUUGGUGCAUAAAUGAACCUUCAAGCUGGUAUAUCCUGUCAAAUAUGUGAAUUGUAAUUUGACAUGAACAACUGGUAUCGUGUUACUAUAGAUUUGACAUUAUCCGUUUCUUUUAUAGGUUUGUUUUGUUGAGUAAAGAAUGAUGACCUCAAUGACAAAGGUGCAAAUUUUUUUUUAACCAGUAUACGGUUGUUUGGAUUUAUCAUUCACUGCUUCAAAAAUUGUUACCCUGAUGUUUUAACUCUUACGAGGUGUAAAACAACAUUGAUGGUGUUCAAAAAGAAAUCCAGGAAGUGUUAAUUUUUGGUGGAGUUA
Capsicum annuum is the source of this 3889-nucleotide RNA transcript. RefSeq lists it as uncharacterized. The transcript has 6 exons. The record is from RefSeq and is a predicted model, not a curated record. Lineage: Eukaryota; Viridiplantae; Streptophyta; Magnoliopsida; Solanales; Solanaceae.